ACGGAAGGCAGCAGUGGGGAAUAUUGGGCAAUGGGCGAAAGCCUGACCCAGCAACGCCGCGUGAAGGAAGACGGUCUUCGGAUUGUAAACUUCUUUGAUUGGGGAAGAACAAAAUGACCUACCCAAAGAACAAGUCACGGCUAACUACGUGCCAGCAGCCGCGGUAAUACGUAGGUGACAAGCGUUAUCCGGAUUUACUGGGCGUAAAGGGCGUGUAGGCGGCUUUACAAGUCAGAAGUGAAAUUCUCGGGCUCAACCCGGGCGCUGCUUCUGAAACUGCAGAGCUUGAGUGCUGGAGGGGAUAGCGGAAUUCCUAGUGGAGCGGUAAAAUGCGUAGAUAUUAGGAAGAACACCGGUGGCGAAGGCGGCUAUCUGGACAGUAACUGACGCUGAGGCGCGAAAGCGUGGGGAGCAAACAGGAUUAGAUACCCUGGUA
RNAcentral lists this ribosomal RNA (436 nucleotides) under uncultured Saccharofermentans sp. Its description in RNAcentral is "bacterial SSU rRNA". It matches the Rfam family "Bacterial small subunit ribosomal RNA", at positions 341 to 792 of the family's 1533-position model. Lineage: Bacteria; Bacillati; Bacillota; Clostridia; Eubacteriales; Oscillospiraceae. The record is from RNAcentral.